CCUCUCCGAGAUCUGUUGGGGGCCUCUGGGUGCCCCCCCCCCCUCCCCAGCACUCUCCACCCGGAGGCCGGGAUCCUCUGGGGCGGCGGAGGGGGCGGUUUUAUAUGGUGCCCUUUCCGCUGCUUCCAGCCUUUCCUCUGCGCCUCCCGGGCAGCCCAAGUGGCUCCAGGGCUCCUUUGCCAAUAAUAAGUGGGCACCGGGGUGGGGGGUGGGGGGGGGCACCUGUCCUUCCGUGACUCCCCCCCAAGGGGUUGGCGGUGCAAAGGGUCCAAUAUCUGAGGCCUAAGGCGGGGGGGGGGAGGAGGAGGGUUUGGGGACUUCCGUCGUCCCCUGGAUGGUCAGCCUGUGACUCCAGGAGCCUCUUCUGCACCCAGCUGGUACAUCUGGCCGUUUUCAUUCCCUUUAAGCCUGAAUGGCAAAUGGAGAUUAUUUUGCUACCUUCUGCUCUGUGGGGUUGUUUAGUGGUUUGGGGACGUUCUUUACCGCUGUACGUUUUGAAUGAGGGAUUUUAAAUUGACUACUAACAAAUCCUUUUAACUGCCUUAUCUUGAAGUGGUUCAGCUGGUAUUUCUCAACUACAACUUUGUUGUUAGCCGUAUUUUCUAAGCCUACUUCACUGUUCAACAGGGAUCCAACCUUUGUACCUAUCAUUGAUUUUCUGCAGGCUUCUUUUGUACAGUAUAUUUAGAUUCGACCUCUCUUGCUGCUGCUGUUCCCGGUGGGGUUUUGCUUCCUGCCCCCCUUUUAGUGGACAGCUGUUUCUCUUUGCUUUCUUUAUUUCAUAUUUUUGUUUGCCUCAUCUUAACAGCAUCAUGAAUUUCGGGCAUGAGAACUUCAGGCGCUCUUUAUCAAAUCUAAUCUAUUAAACCUUUAUCCUUGCUGUGUAAUCUAAUGGAAUAUUGUUUUGGGAGGCUGGGACUAUCUUAUCUGAGCUGCGGUACCAGCUCCUGAUUUCGUUGACUUAGCAAUUUAUCCUCUUUGUUGGUGGAGUAUAUUUGAAGUUAUCUAUCUGUUGAUAUCCACGUGCAGAAUCUUCUUUUAGGUUGUUGCAAGAAAAUAUUUGUGAUAAAUGUUGAAUUUCCUUGACAUUAGCCGACUUUGUUGUUUCAAACAUAAGAUCUAAUUUUCUUGCUAUUUCAUAUCCUUUUAUUUCCAACUGCUGUAAUUGGGGUGGUGGCUUUUUGGGGUGCUGUCAGGUUGACAAGCGGUUGUGGGUUCUGUUCUUGGAGCAGAGGGAAGGGAUUCUUUUUGUCAGUUUGCACCUGGGUUUCCUUGCUGAAGGAAGGGCGCUGUGGUGCAGAACCUCCUCCCGCCUCCACAGGAAAUUCCUUCACAGACUCCCUCAAGUCUCUGCAUGAAGCCUCUUAACCAGGCUUCUGAGAAGACCCUCCUCUCCCCGACUUCCAAGCCCAAACUGGUUGAAGAAUAAAGGAGCAAAAGUUGCUUUUGCCCGUGCAGGAGUGUGCGAAGGAUGUGUCAGAAGGAGGGCAAAGCAAGUGUGGGCUUGCGUCUUAUAGAGCGAUAGGAUGCUGCAAUUCUUCUCGUGGAUUUUUACAAAUAACGUUACAAGCUUCCGUGCUUUUCUUUCUGCUGCCCACCGAAAGACUCUUUCAAAGAAGAAGAAGUAGGUCGGUACCUGUGUUUCUCAUCAGCACACGAUGGAUGGUUUCUAGUCUAAUUUUAUCUAAUUGAAAAUCUCCUGGAGAACUGUGGCCCCUGGGCUGCCUCAUUCUUCCAUUGCUGCGAAGUCUUAAUUGGCCUCGAUUUUUGGCAGUCAAAGAAUAGGGGACCUCUGCCAGAGUCUCGGCAUAAGGAGGGUUUUCCAUGGGAGAGUUUUCAUUCUUUGCUAAGAAUGCCCCAUAGCCCCAUAGUCAGCCAAGAGGUGUGGGUCCUCCCCCCCUUGUAAAGGGCAACUUUUCUGCCAACCUCUCAUUGAGUCCUUGGGUGGCACCCCUUCCCUCGGCCUCUGCUCAUUGAUUGCUUGCCAGGGAUUUAGCCCUGGCUCUUGAAACAAGAGGACUUUCAAAGGGAGCAUGUGAUGCUUGUUGGAACAAGAUUUGGGUGUGCUUGUGCAGGGGAUCUUGGGGAAAGCGGCACUACAAUUCUUCAUUGUUUUAGGCAGGGGUCAAAGUUCGGCUGAGCUGGCUGAUGGGCGUUUGAAGGAGAGGACCUGGAGGUAUUUUAGGCCAAGUCCCAAGAUGAGGUAAGGGCGAUGAAGG
Long non-coding RNA from Thamnophis elegans (Western terrestrial garter snake), 2219 nucleotides. RefSeq lists it as uncharacterized. The record is from RefSeq and is a predicted model, not a curated record. The transcript has 2 exons. NCBI's taxonomy places the organism in Eukaryota, Metazoa, Chordata, Lepidosauria, Squamata, Natricidae.